RNAcentral lists this transfer RNA (86 nucleotides) under Bacteroidota bacterium. RNAcentral describes it as "Bacteroidetes bacterium (marine sediment metagenome) tRNA-Ser". It matches the Rfam family "tRNA". From Rfam's summary of the family: Transfer RNA (tRNA) molecules are approximately 80 nucleotides in length. Their secondary structure includes four short double-helical elements and three loops (D, anti-codon, and T loops). RNAcentral also lists the same sequence under 1 other name. The record is from RNAcentral. Lineage: Bacteria; Pseudomonadati; Bacteroidota.
GGAGAGAUGCUAGAGUGGUUGAAUAGGACGGUCUCGAAAACCGUUGUGCCCUAUGGGUACCCUGGGUUCGAAUCCCAGUCUCUCCG